UCUAUGUGCAUGUUUUCGUGUGUACAUAAGUUUUCAACUCCUUUGGGUAAAUAUAAAGGAGUGCAGUUACUGGAUCGUAUGGCAAAGAGCAUGUUCAGUUUUGCCAAAUUGUCUUCCCAAGUGGUUUCCACUAAUAGUUAAUGAAAGUUGCAAUUGCUCCACAUCCUUGUCAGCUUUUUUGUAUUGUCAGUGUUUUGGGUUUUGGUCAUUCAAAUAGGAGUAUUCUUUUUUGUUGUUGUUGUUACUUCUUUUUAUUAUUAUUAUUAUUAUUAUACUUUAAGUUCUAGGGUACAUGUGCAUAAUGUGCAGGUUUGUUACAUAUGUAUACUUGUGCCAUGUUGCUGUGCUGCACCCAUCAACUCGUCAGCACCCAUCAACUCGUCAUUUACAUCAGGUAUAACUCGAAUGCAAUCCUUCCCCCCUCCCCGCUCCCCAUGAUAGGCCCCGGUGUGUGAUGUUCCCCUUCCUGAGUCCAAGUGAUCUCAUUGUUCAGCUCCCACCUAUGAGUGAGAACAUGCGGUGUUUGGUUUUUCUGUUCUUGUGAUAGUUUGCUAAGAAUGAUGGUUUCCAGCUGCAUCCAUGUCCCUACAAAGGACACAAACUCAUCCUUUUUUAUGGCUGCAUAGUAUUCCAUGGUGUAUAUGUGCCACAUUUUCUUAAUCCAGUCUGUCACUGAUGGACAUUUGGGUUGAUUCCAAGUCUUUGCUAUUGUGAAUAGUGCCGCAAUAAACAUACGUGUGCAUGUGUCUUUAUAGCAGCAUGAUUUAUAAUCCUUUGGGUAUAUACCCAGUAAUGGGAUGGCUGGGUCAUAUGGUACAUCUAGUUCUAGAUCCUUGAGGAAUUGCCAUACUGUUUUCCAUAAUGGUUGAACUAGUUUACAAUCCCACCAACAGUGUAAAAGUGUUCCUAUUUCUCCACAUCCUCUCCAGCACCUGUUGUUUCCUGACUUUUUAAUGAUCGCCAUUCUAACUGGUGUGAGAUGGUAUCUCAUUGUGGUUUUGAUUUGCAUUUCUCUGAUGGCCAGUGAUGAUGAGCAUUUUUUCAUGUGUCUGUUGGCUGUA
This 1061-nucleotide long non-coding RNA is filed under the name Papio anubis (olive baboon). RNAcentral's name for it is "lncRNA (ENSPANG00000045402.1)". The record is from RNAcentral. Lineage: Eukaryota; Metazoa; Chordata; Mammalia; Primates; Cercopithecidae.